AACUUCCGAGAAAUACGUAACGUUAUAAUAUCAAGGCGAUAUUGAUUAUGUAAUAAUAAUCUAAGUAUGGAAAACGUAAUAUUUCGCAUGUGGACCUAAAUUGAGAACGUUAGGUUUAUUAAGCGUAAAGGAAGAAAAUUAUGAUCGUAUAAUGUGUAUACAUUGUAUGAAGUGAUGAAUGUAAGUAUAAUACGACGUAUUGUACUAUUAUGUAUGAAGAACGAGAUAACGUAUAUUACGAACUAGUAUACGAGUUAGCAUACGAAGAUUAUACGUGGGGUAUAAUUGUUAAGAUGGUUA
RNAcentral lists this long non-coding RNA (300 nucleotides) under Panax ginseng (ginseng). RNAcentral's name for it is "long non-coding RNA (PGIN_LNC001810)". The record is from RNAcentral. Lineage: Eukaryota; Viridiplantae; Streptophyta; Magnoliopsida; Apiales; Araliaceae.